GGCUUCACAGCUCAGUUAGUCGAGCAUCACACCGGUGUCGCGGAGGUCACGGGUUCAAAUCCCGUUGAAGCUC
Molecule: transfer RNA, 73 nt
Filed under: Acropora cervicornis
Lineage: Eukaryota; Metazoa; Cnidaria; Anthozoa; Scleractinia; Acroporidae
Description: tRNA-Thr
Rfam family: tRNA
About the family: Transfer RNA (tRNA) molecules are approximately 80 nucleotides in length. Their secondary structure includes four short double-helical elements and three loops (D, anti-codon, and T loops).
Source: RNAcentral